RNAcentral lists this ribosomal RNA (253 nucleotides) under uncultured bacterium. RNAcentral's name for it is "partial 16S ribosomal RNA". It matches the Rfam family "Bacterial small subunit ribosomal RNA", at positions 524 to 776 of the family's 1533-position model. The record is from RNAcentral.
UACGUAGGGGGCAAGCGUUGUCCGGAUUUACUGGGCGUAAAGAGCUCGUAGGUGGUUUGUCGCGUUGUCCGUGAAAACUCACAACUCAAUUGUGGGCGUGCGGGCGAUACGGGCAGACUGGAGUACUGCAGGGGAGACUGGAAUUCCUGGUGUAGCGGUGGAAUGCGCAGAUAUCAGGAGGAACACCGGUGGCGAAGGCGGGUCUCUGGGCAGUAACUGACGCUGAGGAGCGAAAGCGUGGGGAGCGAACAGG